UGGCUCAGAUUGAACGCUAGCGGGAUGCCUUACACAUGCAAGUCGAACGGCAGCACGGACUUCGGUCUGGUGGCGAGUGGCGAACGGGUGAGUAAUGUAUCGGAACGUGCCUAGUAGCGGGGGAUAACUACGCGAAAGCGUAGCUAAUACCGCAUACGCCCUACGGGGGAAAGCAGGGGAUCGCAAGACCUUGCACUAUUAGAGCGGCCGAUAUCGGAUUAGCUAGUUGGUGGGGUAACGGCUCACCAAGGCGACGAUCCGUAGCUGGUUUGAGAGGACGACCAGCCACACUGGGACUGAGACACGGCCCAGACUCCUACGGGAGGCAGCAGUGGGGAAUUUUGGACAAUGGGGGAAACCCUGAUCCAGCCAUCCCGCGUGUGCGAUGAAGGCCUUCGGGUUGUAAAGCACUUUUGGCAGGAAAGAAACGUCAUGGGYUAAUACCCCGUGAAACUGACGGUACCUGCAGAAUAAGCACCGGCUAACUACGUGCCAGCAGCCGCGGUAAUACGUAGGGUGCAAGCGUUAAUCGGAAUUACUGGGCGUAAAGCGUGCGCAGGCGGUUCGGAAAGAAAGAUGUGAAAUCCCAGAGCUUAACUUUGGAACUGCAUUUUUAACUACCGAGCUAGAGUGUGUCAGAGGGAGGUGGAAUUCCGCGUGUAGCAGUGAAAUGCGUAGAUAUGCGGAGGAACACCGAUGGCGAAGGCAGCCUCCUGGGAUAACACUGACGCU
RNAcentral lists this ribosomal RNA (732 nucleotides) under Achromobacter sp. 111117_136_C_G10. RNAcentral's name for it is "bacterial SSU rRNA". It matches the Rfam family "Bacterial small subunit ribosomal RNA", at positions 20 to 747 of the family's 1533-position model. Lineage: Bacteria; Pseudomonadati; Pseudomonadota; Betaproteobacteria; Burkholderiales; Alcaligenaceae. The record is from RNAcentral.